Limanda limanda (common dab) is the source of this 141-nucleotide small nucleolar RNA. The record is from RefSeq and is a predicted model, not a curated record. NCBI's taxonomy places the organism in Eukaryota, Metazoa, Chordata, Actinopteri, Pleuronectiformes, Pleuronectidae.
UACGCACACUUUUAAAACCUGGCACCGCUGUCGGUGUUACGGCGUCGGAUGUGUGCAAUAGUAAUCUGGCCGGGUUUUCGCUAACAUCAGUAGGACGGCUGGUCCCAUGACUGGAGUUUGAUAGUGACCUGAGCCACAGUG